UAGUCAUAUGCUUGUUUCAAAGAUUAAGCCAUGCAAGUCUAAGUAUAAACUAUUACUAUGGUGAAACUGCGAAUAGCUCAUUACAACAGUUAUUACUUGUACGUCUGUCACUGUACAUGGAUAUCCAUGGUAAUUCUGGUGCCAAUACAUGCACGGAGCUACUCAGUGAGUGGUACAGCAUAAGUUACCGAGAAAGGGUUUACUCUUACGGUGAACGUUAUGUUUAUUCAAUCGAUUUUCGAUGGGACGUUGAGGUUUCUGCCCUAUCAGCUAUCGU
RNAcentral lists this ribosomal RNA (277 nucleotides) under uncultured eukaryote. RNAcentral describes it as "partial 18S ribosomal RNA". It matches the Rfam family "Eukaryotic small subunit ribosomal RNA", at positions 21 to 325 of the family's 1831-position model. The record is from RNAcentral.